CGAUCUUUUAAUAGACUUUACGAACUUCAAUUUGCCUUACGAUCUCUUAGCUGCUAGGAAAAUUGGAAGAAUUUAUAAAGAUAUUUUUUUUCUCAAUUUUACGAACAAGAUCUAAGAAUUAAUUUAGUUGAUGGAGCAAUAAGGGGGUAGGUCUGAGGAUCAACUGGUGAGGACAUUCAAUGUCUGCAUCCACUGCAUGUGCCUGGGAACGAAAGGGAACAAUCAAGGCAUGUCAUCGAUGGGGUGGUACUGAUAAGGGACAACGUACAUAAUGAACUCAGUCGGGAGUUACAGACGACCUAACUAAAGCAGCAGGAAACGAAACGGAACUGUAUCUGUAUAGAAGGAACUCAACUCUUCGGCUAUUGGAGGUCCUAAUAGGACUUUCAACACUUCCAUUUUUGAGUAUGG
This 411-nucleotide long non-coding RNA is filed under the name Panax ginseng (ginseng). Its description in RNAcentral is "long non-coding RNA (PGIN_LNC003075)". Lineage: Eukaryota; Viridiplantae; Streptophyta; Magnoliopsida; Apiales; Araliaceae. The record is from RNAcentral.